This 497-nucleotide ribosomal RNA is filed under the name uncultured bacterium. RNAcentral describes it as "partial 16S ribosomal RNA". It matches the Rfam family "Bacterial small subunit ribosomal RNA", at positions 28 to 507 of the family's 1533-position model. The record is from RNAcentral.
GACGAACGCUGGCGGCGUGCCUAAUACAUGCAAGUAGAACGCUGAAGAGAGGAGCUUGCUCUUCUUGGAUGAGUUGCGCACGGGUGAGUAACGCGUAGGUAACCUGCCUUGUAGCGGGGGAUAACUAUUGGAAACGAUAGCUAAUACCGCAUAACAAUGGAUGACCCAUGUCAUUUAUUUGAAAGGGGCAACUGCUCCACUACAAGAUGGACCUGCGUUGUAUUAGCUAGUAGGUGAGGUAACGGCUCACCUAGGCGUCGAUACAUAGCCGACCUGAGAGGGGGCGAUGCGACACUGGGACGGAGACACGGCCCAGAACCCUACGGGAGGCAGCAGGAGGGAAUCUUCGGCAAUGGGGGCAACCCUGACCGAGCAACGCCGCGGGAGUGAAGAAGGUUGUCGGAUCGUAAAGCUCUGUUGUAAGUUAAGAACGAGUGUGAGAGUGGAAAGUUCACACUGUGACGGUAGCUAACCAGAAAGGGACGGCUAACUACGUG